AGGGCUGUGGCUCAGUGGUAGAGCGCUUGCCUAGCAUGUAUGAAGCACUGGGUUCGAAUCUCAGCACCACAU
Molecule: non-coding RNA, 72 nt
Organism: Ictidomys tridecemlineatus (thirteen-lined ground squirrel)
Lineage: Eukaryota; Metazoa; Chordata; Mammalia; Rodentia; Sciuridae
Source: Rfam